GGAGCUUGCUCCUCUGACGUUAGCGGCGGACGGGUGAGUAACACGUGGAUAACCUACCUAUAAGACUGGGAUAACUUCGGGAAACCGGAGCUAAUACCGGAUAAUAUAUUGAACCGCAUGGUUCAAUAGUGAAAGACGGUUUUGCUGUCACUUAUAGAUGGAUCCGCGCCGCAUUAGCUUAGUUGGUAAGGUAACGGCUUACCAAGGCAACGAUGCGUAGCCGACCUGAGAGGGUGAUCGGCCACACUGGAACUGAGACACGGUCCAGACUCCUACGGGAGGCAGCAGUAGGGAAUCUUCCGCAAUGGGCGAAAGCCUGACGGAGCAACGCCGCGUGAGUGAUGAAGGUCUUCGGAUCGUAAAACUCUGUUAUUAGGGAAGAACAAAUGUGUAAGUAACUAUGCACGUCUUGACGGUACCUAAUCAGAAAGCCACGGCUAACUACGUGCCAGCAGCCGCGGUAAUACGUAGGUGGCAAGCGUUAUCCGGAAUUAUUGGGCGUAAAGCGCGCGUAGGCGGUUUUUUAAGUCUGAUGUGAAAGCCCACGGCUCAACCGUGGAGGGUCAUUGGAAACUGGAAAACUUGAGUGCAGAAGAGGAAAGUGGAAUUCCAUGUGUAGCGGUGAAAUCGCAGAGAUAUGGAGGAACACCAGUGGCGAAGGCGACUUUCUGGUCUGUAACUGAC
This 684-nucleotide ribosomal RNA is filed under the name Staphylococcus epidermidis. RNAcentral describes it as "bacterial SSU rRNA". It matches the Rfam family "Bacterial small subunit ribosomal RNA", at positions 75 to 744 of the family's 1533-position model. The record is from RNAcentral. Lineage: Bacteria; Bacillati; Bacillota; Bacilli; Caryophanales; Staphylococcaceae.